GAGUAAUCCGCUAUAAGAUGGGCCCGCGGCGCAUUAGCUAGUUGGUGAGGUAACGGCUCACCAAGGCGACGAUGCGUAGCCGACCUGAGAGGGUGAUCGGCCACAUUGGGACUGAGACACGGCCCAGACUCCUACGGGAGGCAGCAGUGGGGAAUAUUGCACAAUGGGGGAAACCCUGAUGCAGCAACGCCGCGUGAGUGAUGACGGCCUUCGGGUUGUAAAGCUCUGUCUUUGGGGACGAUAA
This 244-nucleotide ribosomal RNA is filed under the name Escherichia coli. Its description in RNAcentral is "partial 16S ribosomal RNA". It matches the Rfam family "Bacterial small subunit ribosomal RNA", at positions 207 to 451 of the family's 1533-position model. The record is from RNAcentral. Lineage: Bacteria; Pseudomonadati; Pseudomonadota; Gammaproteobacteria; Enterobacterales; Enterobacteriaceae.